CAACUAGCGUGACACGCUGGGAUGGAGGCGAGUGGCGCCGUGAGGAGGGCGGGCUCCUGCCUCAGGAGCGGGCGGCAGUGAAUGGCUUCACCACGGCGCGUGGACGGGCUCCUGCCCCGGCUGGCUCCCGGCGGCACAGGUUCAGGGCCUUGGACGCUGCAGGAGGUAUUGGAUCCAUAUCGGAGCAAAAGAGGACAUGAAAAAAGCUACUAAAAGCAGAGAGGAGAUCAGUCAAGCCGGUGGCUGAAAUACGCUAUUUUGAUUAAGCAUUCAGCAGGGCAAAUGCCAUAGGAUGACCGCUGCUGGUCCCCUCUUACUGGCUGUGAUAUCGUCUCUCCUGUGGCUCACACGGGGCUUUGACCCAGCUCCCAGC
RNAcentral lists this long non-coding RNA (373 nucleotides) under Strigops habroptila (Kakapo). RNAcentral's name for it is "lncRNA (ENSSHBG00005016550.1)". The record is from RNAcentral. Lineage: Eukaryota; Metazoa; Chordata; Aves; Psittaciformes; Psittacidae.